UGCAAGUCGAACGAGAGAUGAGGAGCUUGCUCUUCAAAUCGAGUGGCGAACGGGUGAGUAACGCGUGAGGAACCUGCCUCAAAGAGGGGGACAACAGUUGGAAACGACUGCUAAUACCGCAUAAGCCCACGGCUCGGCAUCGAGCAGAGGGAAAAGGAGUAAUCCGCUUUGAGAUGGCCUCGCGUCCGAUUAGCUAGUUGGUGAGGUAACGGCCCACCAAGGCGACGAUCGGUAGCCGGACUGAGAGGUUGAACGGCCACAUUGGGACUGAGACACGGCCCAGACUCCUACGGGAGGCAGCAGUGGGGAAUAUUGCACAAUGGGGGAAACCCUGAUGCAGCGACGCCGCGUGGAGGAAGAAGGUCUUCGGAUUGUAAACUCCUGUUGUUGAGGAAGAUAAUGACGGUACUCAACAAGGAAGUGACGGCUAACUACGUGCCAGCAGCCGCGGUAAAACGUAGGUCACAAGCGUUGUCCGGGAUUACUGGGUGUAAAGGGAGCGCAGGCGGGAGAACAAGUUGGAAGUGAAAUCCAUGGGCUCAACCCAUGAACUGCUUUCAAAACUGUUUUUCUUGAGUAGUGCAGAGGUAGGCGGAAUUCCCGGUGUAGCGGUGGAAUGCGUAGAUAUCGGGAGGAACACCAGUGGCGAAGGCGGCCUACUGGGCACCAACUGACGCUGAGGCUCGAAAGUGUGGGUAGCAAACAGGAUUAGAUACCCUGGUAGUCCACACCGUAAACGAUGAUUACUAGGUGUUGGAGGAUUGACCCCUUCAGUGCCGCAGUUAACACAAUAAGUAAUCCACCUGGGGAGUACGACCGCA
This 821-nucleotide ribosomal RNA is filed under the name uncultured bacterium. RNAcentral's name for it is "bacterial SSU rRNA". It matches the Rfam family "Bacterial small subunit ribosomal RNA", at positions 56 to 890 of the family's 1533-position model. The record is from RNAcentral.